GGGCCCGUAGCUCAGUUCGGUUAGAGCGACCAACCUUAGCGACCGGCUCAUAACCGGUCGGUCGAGCGUUCAAAUCGCUCCGGGCCCA
This 88-nucleotide transfer RNA is filed under the name Nitrososphaerota archaeon. Its description in RNAcentral is "Thaumarchaeota archaeon tRNA-Ile". It matches the Rfam family "tRNA". Rfam says of the family: Transfer RNA (tRNA) molecules are approximately 80 nucleotides in length. Their secondary structure includes four short double-helical elements and three loops (D, anti-codon, and T loops). The record is from RNAcentral. Lineage: Archaea; Thermoproteati; Nitrososphaerota. RNAcentral also lists the same sequence under 1 other name.